CAGCGCCACAAGUGGCAAUCAUGUUUAUUUGGCCUAAAGCGUCCGUAGCUGGUUAAGUAAAUCUUUUGUGAAAUCGUUUCGCUCAACGAAACGGCGUGCAGGAGAGACUGCUUGGCUAGAGACCGGGAGGAGUCAGAGGUAUGCUGGGGGGAGCGGUAAAAUGCUAUAAUCCUCGGUAGACCACCUGUGGCGAAGGCGUCUGACUAGAACGGGUCUGACAGCGAGGGACGAAAGCCAGGGGAGCAAACCGGAUUAGAUACCCGAGUAGUCC
Molecule: ribosomal RNA, 271 nt
Filed under: uncultured archaeon
Lineage: Archaea
Description: partial 16S ribosomal RNA
Rfam family: Archaeal small subunit ribosomal RNA
Source: RNAcentral